CCUGCAUUUCUCAAAUGGUGAGGCUAGUUUCAAUCAUUGAAUUGUUAAAUUGUGGUGAUCAUUUGGAAAAUGAGUUCGUUCACGCAAAAUUUUGCUUUUGUUUCUUGGUGGCCUAACCUGUCACCUGUGUUACCCACUGCUGUCCCGUUGCCUCCUAUAAACGUGGUUAAAACAGAGCAAUCAAACGUCAAAUCAAGGAAAUGCUAGAAACAGCCUUGAGUUUGAGUAUUCAAUUCAACUGGCAUAUUUGGACCAACAUUGACAUGAUCAUAAAAAAAGACUAAUGUCCAGGAAGAAAUUAGCUUGGUGAGGAAACUCUUGUCAUGGAGAAAAGUUAUAUGUGGCUGUACUCGAGCCUCCAACAAAUGAACUCUUGCUGCAGUUUUAACCGAGACGGAAUUUGAAAAUCCCCUUCCUCAGCUAUACUAUCUGAGGCAGGUGACUCCCACAAUACAACUAUCAAGCAAGUAUAAGUCAACGACAAUUGUAAUCUGGAACUCGACGAACAAGUUGCUAGAGAGGAAUUUCAGACGAUCGUCAAUGUUUAGAAAGAAGAAGAUGACUGCUCAAUACAAUUAAAUCAAAGAAGGACAAUAUGUAAGCUCUGGUGGAAGCUAUGAAAGAGUUUGGCGUUGAAGUGGAUAACGAUUUAAUUUAACUAGCGUCAAAUCUGAACCCAAAGUAGAGCCAGAAGGUACAUCUAUCACCGGCACACCAAUAUCCAACGGAACUUACUCCACAAGACUGGCAUAAUUGUAGUGCGUACUGAAAUUAACUUGCGAAUCAUAGUUCUGAUGGAUUCACUUUCAAGGAGAAAAGCAGUCGACAGUCCUUAUAGGAGGAGAGACACUGUAAAUGUCAUUUGCUUAGCGAUUGAGAUUAGCGAAAGUCGUGGAUACCAUCUGUCAAUCAAUGCGUCUUGUCUACCGACCCGGAUCCCCCCUGUAUAUAUCGAUCCUCUCGAUCCUGGUUGCUUACAUCCGCCAAGUUUUUAUUGACACUAGCAAGCAAAAAGCUUCGCAACCAGAUUCUUUGCCAUUUGCAAUCGGAAUGAUCAGUUUGAGUAAGUCAACGUUUACUAGACAUUUCCAUGUAAACUUCUACGUUUGAUUUUGAAAGUGAUGAGGUAUUUCCACGCCAUUCGACCAAGGUUAAUCGAAAGUAAACAAUUCUAAGGCAUCAUGCCGAAGAUCUUUUGCCUUUCUCAUCCACGUGAUCGCUGCCGUGUCAUGAAGAUGCUUCUUUGAGAGGGUCUCUACUAUAUUGCAACCUGCAAGACAAAAAAGUGAUGAGAACAGGAAAUCUGAAUUGGUUAUAACGUUCGUACUUUUAAGACAAAUCAAGCAGAGUUCAACCUGCAGACGGGCCGGCCAGUUUGCAUGUCCUUCACGCUUGAAGGUCACGGUGAACAUUACGUGUAAAACUGUCAAUGCGACGGCGGAGAGGUUGGGUGAGAAAGGAGAGAGAAAAGGCCAGAGACAUUAGUCGAGUGAGCAUCUCCGACACGGUAACAACUGCAGCGCACUAUCUGUCACAAUCUGCCUUCUUCACCGUAUUGCCAGUUCGCAUCCAUGGGCGUCGUAUGCUGUUGGGUGUUGUAUCGUUGAUUGGUGGGUCGACCACUGGUGUAAUGAUGUCUCCUGGGUAUGGCGGAUACCAAACCGCGACGUUGCCGCCUUACUAACCAAAACUUACGCAACGACCAGUUACUGCACCGAGGUCUUAAAGUACUACACUACUAAGGCACCGGAGUUUUAUACCAUAACUUACGCUGCCCCGAGUUACUACACUUCCAAGGCGACGGAGCAUGACUACGCAUGCUGCCCCAUCCUACUACACCGAGGCUCCCAACUGCUACACCGAGGCUUCCGCUGAUUACUCCACCAAAACGGUCGAAUACGAACCCAAAGCGGUAAAGUACUACUCUGCCCCGAUCUACACAACCACAACUGAGGCGGCCAAGUAUUACGCAGUCCCGACUUACUACACAGAAGCUGCUCUUUCGUACUACGUUGAACAGAAAUACUACACUGAUCUUUCAGUUCACUACACCACGACUUACGCUACGGGAGACCUUUUACGCUGGAGUGGAUUACAGUUCAAACAGUGAUAAGCUGCUGUUGCAAAUUCAUGUCUCCGAUCCUGAUUUCGGCAUCAACGGCUCGCUCUCCUACUUUAUCCGAUCGUCCAACUUGUUUCACAUGGGCUCACAGAUUUCGUCAGGUUCAGUAGUGCCUUCACCAUUUCACGUAACCACCGACGGACGCCUUUUCACCGAAUCGCUCAUGGCCGAGUACAAUCAGGAUCGUUUUGUGCUUGAAGUAGUGGCGAGAGAGGAAGCUCCCCCAUUCCGAGAAGACACUGCCAACGUUCACCUGUGGGUCUACGAACCCAAUCAGCUGUCGAUGAUUGUCGUGGCCAAGCCUUUGGAACGGGCACUGAUAGAAAGAGAGCUGUUGGGUGACGAGCUACGUAACGCUACACAACUGCGGAUUGUCAUCGAUUAAAUGCGGCAUCACGUGGAAGACGACGGUUCUCUCAACAAGAACAAGACGGACGUCUACGUUCACGGUGUCGACCGUGGAGGCAAUAAAACCAUCGCACCAGUGUCCGAAGUAUUGCGUGCCAUCGAUUUGCCUUAUGACGUUUUACGUUCGUUUAACGACACUGCCAUCGUCAACGUCGUUUCUGCCACAGCCGCUCCCAGGAAGGCCCUACUAGAGCCGGCCAUAAUGGCCCUGAUAGCUCUCCUGGUCGUCCUUUUGGUUGGAUUCGUGAUGGUCAUUUUUACUUGCUGUUGCAUACGUAAUUGGGAUAUCGUGGCAACCAACAACCAGCACGAAUCAAGCAACAAGUCGGGCAGCUCCACUGUCAACAGAGAACUAAUGCUGUCGACGAUGCAUCGCCCCACCCCGCCUCUGUUUCGCAUUCACCCUCUGAAUUGCUCAACAGCACCGAAAAUCCUUUGUGGAUCGACAAAUACGUCAAACAUUACGAGGAACAAGAGUUGAGUAUGCGAGUGGCACCCGAUUUGGAGAGCCCAAUCCGAAUGGGAGGUGCUAGUAACAAUGCAAGUGGAGCGGAUCAAGCCAAUCCUUACGCCACGACCCAAAAACCGAGACGAGCUCUACCCUCCAUCCAUCUAGGAGAAGAAGUGGGCGAAUCCAGCGACUACGCUACUAUCGGGGGUAGUCCCAAUAACAAGUACCCUACAUCGAGAGAGACUCAAAUCAUUUUAGCGAGUCGAUCGAGCACUCCUCAUCUAAUGAUGAAUCAAAAUGGAGAACCGAUAUUGGUAGCCGAUUUGAUCUAAAGCGACCCCUUUUUAAAAUUAGAAUGCGCCUUUUUAAUUUGUUGACAAUGGCGACUAUGACACGACGAAAAUGAUAUUUGUACAUGUUUUUAGUAUUUCUCCUUCGAAUUCAUUUGUGUGACGAACUUGGUUUCAAAUCGUCGUCGUAAGUACACGCUCAAAAUUUAAGGUAUUUAAUGUUUGAAUAUAAUGGCGUUUGACAAUUUGAAAAAUGUCAAUUUAA
This is a long non-coding RNA of Daphnia pulicaria, 3536 nucleotides long. RefSeq lists it as uncharacterized. Lineage: Eukaryota; Metazoa; Arthropoda; Branchiopoda; Diplostraca; Daphniidae. The transcript has 10 exons. The record is from RefSeq and is a predicted model, not a curated record.